Non-coding RNA from Chrysemys picta bellii (western painted turtle), 4062 nucleotides. Lineage: Eukaryota; Metazoa; Chordata; Testudines; Emydidae. The record is from RefSeq and is a predicted model, not a curated record.
GGAAGAGUGAAAGUCGGAGCAGCUCCGAGGCCACUCUACACAUACCUCAGGGGUUAAGUAGGGUCCAGAAAGGGGGAGCACAAGUGUGGGUUAAAGCCACCUCUUCCCAUCUCUGUGUCUGUCUGUAGCCAAAUAUGGAGACCCGGGGAUCAAAGUAUCCUCUCUACAGAUCAGGCUACAGCAUGUCCAAACUCCUCUCCCCGCCACCCAUAGGCACUUCCAAAAAGUUCCAGCUCAGGCAAUGUGUGCCCUGAAAUCUUCCUGCUCUCACUGGUCUCUGUUUUCUUCCCCCCAUGCAGUGGGAUUUGGUGUGUGAGUCCAGGACACUCCAGCAAAUGUUGCAGUCGCUCUACAGGGCUGGAACAGCAGGAGGGCUGCAGUUCGCACUUGAGGGGCAUCGGCAGAAGUGUACUGGGAUAACGUCAUGCAUUCAAAUUAAUUCCUAACCCUGAAUUUUGGUUCAAGCACUCUCCAUUGCAAACAGUGCUUACAGGGAACCGAGAUCACCAAAGUAGGAGAAAUGGGUGCCAUAUGGUGCAAUCAUAUCAGCCUCCAACUUCCCUGCCCUGGACCAACUUCCCGAUCUCCCCACUCCCCUAUUAACUCUGUUCUCUGUGCUGCAGGUUUGGCCGGAAAGCCCUCCUGAUCUGGUGCAACCUGCAAAUGGCGGUAACAGGCAUCUGUGCUGCUUUCUCCCCCAACUUCACCACAUUCUGCGUCUUCCGCUUCCUCACCGGCCUGGCCAUUUCUGGCAUCUCGGUCAAUUCUGUCUCACUGUGUAAGUAGGCUCUUCAGGUCUGAAUGAUCCCGGCAGACUAGUUACUCUCCAGCCAAUCUUAUAAAGGUGCCUCUGAUAGCACCGGACACCUGGUGUCUGCUCCUGGGAGAACCAGGACAGAACAAAAUUCACUCUGUGUAGUGGGCCCAGCACAAGCGUAUGCGCCACUUUUGUUUGGUCAGUUGAAACAUGUUGUUUAUCUUUCAACCAUUUUGUAUUUUCCAAACAUUUUUUUACUAUACUUAGCUCAAAUUUCUAAACAAAAAGUAAUUUUACACUGAAAAACUGAAAUUUGUCAUCUCCAAUUUUUCAUCUUCAAAUCUUUUUUCUUAAAAUGUUUUAGAGUCAAGACAUUUGUCAAAAACAAACACUUUCCUUCAGAACAUUUCCUGAAAAACCUUUUGCUAAAUUUUUUUCAGACCAACGCUAAUUACAACACUCCCUUUGGUCUUUGUUGUCUAUUUAGACUGUAAACGCUUUGGGACAGGGAUGGCUCGCACUAUGGGGUUGUACAAUCCCUGGCACAACGGGGCCCCAAUCUCAGCUGGGUAUAUCCAGGUGGUAUUUUAAGAAUAGUGACGACUCAGGACUGGGGUGACCAGAUGUCCCCAUUUUAUAGGGACGGUCCCAAUUUUUUGGUAUUUUUUUUUACAGGCUGCUAUGACCCCCCCGCCACCCCCCGUCCCGAUUUUUCACAUUUGCUGUCUGAUCACCCGACUCAGGACAGAGGCGGGUUUGUGGUAUCUCAGCUAAAUCUGGAUCCUUUUUAGUUAUAGUUAAUUUCUAGCCCUGUGGUGUGAAUAAUAUACUCACCCAAAGACAAUCUGGUUUGGCAGAUUGGAUCAGUGUGUUUGUCACCUCUGCACUGGAAGCAUUUAGCGCCGUAUCUAGCACAUUGCUUUCAGACUCUCUCUUUUUUUGACUUAAUCCAUGCAAAACAAAGUAAAAUUUUAACCAAAGUGACCUGCUUAAGGCCUUAUAUAACCCUCCGAGGGAUAUAUAAACCCCACCUGCUUUUCCAGCAGGUGAAAUGCAAGGAUCAACGUGGAAUUAAGCUUGGUAAAACCAUUCCUUUAUGCGUCUACCGUUCAUAGAAAAGAUGUGUGGAGUUUUCCCGCAGCUGACAGGAAACUAGGAAUGGUUGCAUGGGAAUUUUUGCAACAAAGGAGAAGCAACGGGGUAGCACACUCGGUUAUUUAGGGAGAAUAUAACUCAAUGCUUCUUCUUUGGAAACUACACCCUCAAGAAUCCAUGGACACUAUUUGCCAAAAGCUGACUUUUUGUAAGAAGUGCUGCGCUUUAUGACUGUCUUUGAAGUUGUGAAGUGGAAUACAAGCUGGAUUCAAAUUAACGUCUUUCUGUGUAGAUAUUUUCAUCGCACAACGUUUAAUUUUUACAAGUAAUCGACCUAUUCAGGUAACGACCGUUAUUUGGGCCCCAUUGUUUUUGCUUAACCCAGACACUUAGUGCUGAAUCUUCCAAUCCGGCACCAUGAGUUUUGCCGAACUCUUAGACCACGUUGGGGGGAUGGGUCGCUUCCAAAUCAUCUAUGCGAUCUUACUGGCUAUCCCAGUUUUCAUGCUGGCCAGCCAUAACCUCAUGCAGAACUUCACUGCUGCCACCUCUGAGCACCACUGCCAUGUCCAUAUCAACAUCAACAACACUCCUUACACCAACCUCACCGGAAAGCUCGCUGCCAAAGACCUCCUCAGGGUCUCCAUCCCCAUGGACAGCAACCAGCAGCCAGAGAAGUGUCACCGCUUUGUCACCACGCAGUGGCAGCUCCUAGACUCCAACGCCACAGUCACAAACCUAACCGAGCUGGAGACUGAACCCUGCGCUGAUGGGUGGGUGUACGACAAGAGCAUUUUCACCAGCACCAUCGUUACAGAGUGGGACCUGGUGUGUGACUCCUGCCAGCUGAAGCAGAUGGCUCAGUCCAUCUACAUGGCUGGGACCCUGGUGGGAGGUAUCAUCUUUGGAGAUCUGUCAGACAGGUUUGGCCGCAGGUCUCCCUUGAUCUGGUGCUACUUGCAGAUGGCUGUCACGGGCACCAGCACUGCCUUCUCGCUCAGCUUCACUGCCUACUGCAUCUUCCGUUUCCUGACCGGAAUGGCCUUCUCGGGCAUUGUGAUGAACGGUGUCUCUCUGUCUGUGGAAUGGACACCCACCCGCACACGGGCCGUUGUGGUCACCAUGUUUGGAUACUGCUACACAAUUGGGCAGUGCAUUCUGGCUGGGGUGGCUUACGCCAUCCCCAGUUGGCGCUGGCUGCAGCUUGUGGUGUCUUUGCCCUAUUUCAUCUGCUUCAUCUACUCCUGGUGGUUCGCUGAGUCCGCCCGCUGGCUGGUAAUAGCCGGCAGACCCGACGAGGCAGUGAAGCAGCUCCAGAGAGUAGCCAGGAUAAACCGGAAGAAGGAAGAAGGAGACAGACUCAACAUAGAGGUCUUGAGAUCCAACAUGCAGAAAGAAACAGCCUCUGCAAAGAGCAGCCAUACCUUCUUCGACCUGGUGCGGACCCCUGUCGUACGCCGGAUCUCCUUCUGCCUCUGCUUUGUAUGGUUCUCCACCAGCUUUGCCUAUUAUGGGUUGGCCAUGGACCUGCAGAAUUUCGGUGUCAAUAUCUUCUUGAUCCAGCUGGUCUUUGGAGCUGUCGAUUUCGCAGCGAAGUUCAUCUCAGUCCUCACAAUCGGCUUCAUCGGGCGCCGGAUCACACAGACCUUGACCCUCAUCCUGGCUGGACUCUCUAUCCUAGCCAACAUCUUUGUCCCACAAGGUGGUUAUAUGGUGUCCUGGAUUUUCAGGGUUCGAUCCAGAAGUGUUCAAGCCUUUGUCCUACCAAAGGUCCAAAGCCUGGCUGACAUGGUCAGCUGCAGGGGAGAGAGAAGAGCCAGGAGAGCUGAUCCAUAAGGACUAAUGGGGCUCAAGCCCACGGAUAUGUCACAGGUGUGUUCUGUGGCUGAGGUACUGCAGGGUACAGAACCACCUGCUGCUGCCAGGGAUUGAAGCAGCUGACACGUGUUUACGACACCAGUUGCCCUGGCACUUCCCCAUGAAGCAACCUGAGAGAAAUAUUCAGUCUGAUCCAGGCUGGCCUGUUGCAAGAUGGUUGCGAAGUGGAUGAGCCGCAGUCUGGGUGGGGUGACAGACCCAGUUUCAGAAACAAAGCUAGAUCUGAAGGCCCUGCGCACCGUUCUGGCUGUUGUUGGAAAAGGCUGUCUUGCUGCCUCCUUUAACUGUGUCUACCUCUACACGAGUGAGCUGUACCCCACAGUGAUUAGGUA